CCCAUAGUUUAGUGGAUAGAAUGUUUAACUUCGGAUCAAAAUCUCGUGGGUUCAAAUCCUUUUGGG
Molecule: non-coding RNA, 66 nt
Organism: Picea glauca (white spruce)
Lineage: Eukaryota; Viridiplantae; Streptophyta; Pinopsida; Pinales; Pinaceae
Source: Rfam